RNAcentral lists this long non-coding RNA (2741 nucleotides) under Mus musculus (house mouse). RNAcentral's name for it is "long non-coding RNA chr18:5012760-5015501". Lineage: Eukaryota; Metazoa; Chordata; Mammalia; Rodentia; Muridae. The record is from RNAcentral.
GAGAAUCUGUGAUGUCUGGUCAGCUGGAGCUGAAGAAUCGGCUGUGGUUAACAAGAGAGCAGAAUCACUAUAAUAAAACCUUUGUUUUACUGCGACAGCUGAUGUUUCAAUGAUGAACAUCAGCGUAAAAGUGUAACCUUCAUCUCCCUAACUUGCCUUUGGCCAUAGUGUUCUAGUAAUUGUAACCCUAACCAAGACACUAGCGAAAACUGGAUGUCAGUCAACUUUAGGUAUGAGCAAAACUUUCAACGUUGUGUACAUAGGAACAACUUUGGAAGGAAAUGCUAUUAAUCUUUAAAGUUGUGUUAAUCUUUAAAGCUGUGUUGGAGGGUAACAGGCUGAAAACAACAUGUCUUAGGUCUGCCCUAAAAGCUAGGGAGGUGGGUAGUAAGGAUGCUGAGUAAUCACUGAGCCUGGGAAUUCGGGUAUAUAGGAGUUUAUUGUAGCAGUGCCUGCACUUUAUGUAGACUUGCUUUUGUUUAAAAUUAAAGCAACAACUAGGUACCAUGCAUGAUUCAACAUGGGAAAUUCCUACAGCUAUGGAUUUGGCAGAACCUUGCAGUUGAUUUCAAAUCCAAAAACCAUUAAAGGUGGCUAAAAGUAUGAUUUUAAAGUGCUUUUACAUGUAAUGUAAAAAAUGUGCCAAAAAGAAAAAUAAUCAUACUCUUUGCAAGUCCUGUCAUAGACCAUUGGCCAGAGUUCUAACAUAGAAAUGUCUAAGGUAGGCAAAGGAUCUGGACAGACAGCUCACAACGAGGAGAUGGCAGUCGAAUGUGCUGAAACACGAACCAACUCUCAGCCUCAUUUGUGAGGGAAAAUGUGCAGGGCUUGGGCCACCUCAGACCAGCAAGCCUCUAGCUGUUGGUCAGACAUGAAGAUUGGUAAGGCUGUGGAGAAAGUUCAGCCGAUGGGAAUGUGAGAUGGCUCAAUGCCAAGGAAGUCUAAUUUGGCAGUUUCUGUCAGGAUUCUUUCAGAUGCAAUCACAGUCAGGGUUACACACUGAAGCUCUGUUAGUAGAACUCAGCCAAGGCUGGGAACCUUCAUCUCUCCUCUGUGGGGGUAACCUAGAAAACUGCACGCCCUGGAAUGCCAUACAGCUCUGAGAAGGAAAGAAGCCCCCUGGGUACCUGUUCUGGAAGGCCUCUCAAGAACAUCACUGGAGACCCAAUACUUGUGUAUGAAAUGGAAAAUAAGUAUCUUUAAUUAAUUUGUGUAAAGAAACUAUGUAAAGACCUGGAGGAAACUCAGCCAUGCAAGGGAGUGAGCCAGGACUGUAGUGCCUCUGUGAGAACCUUCAAGUUCAUGAAGGCAUCUGUGCAGGUUGAGCCAGCAUUAUGUGAUGUCCAUUAGUGGCUCACUUUUAUAUAAAGCUGAGUAAAAUUCCAAAAAUAACAGUUAGAUCAUUUGAAAAUAUAUGGGGUAGGUACCCAUGAAAUGUUUGCCUCAAUGUGUGUUUUGUGCACAGUGUGUCCUGCCAGCCCAGGUUAAGUCCUGGGCCCUUCGAUUAAGUCAGACAUUGUGACUGCUGAGAAAGAAAGCGCUCUGCUCCCUCCUGGGACAUUUCAUCACCUCCCUCCUGGUUCCGCCAGCUGCUCUAUUAAAUAUGAGGAGCAAGCAUGCUUUCACCGACUAGGGAAGAAAUCAGAUGAACUGUCUGCCCAUAAAUUAUAUCAUGGCUCUUCGGAGAGUUUUGUAGCCUGGAGCCACUGCUGUUUUCCUGUCUCAGGCUUAAGUUCGAGCAGCUGCAUGUUGAAUGCUUUUCCAUUUUUGUUUAAAAAUGUGUGUUAGCACCUCCUCCAAGUCCUCUUACUUCACACCCCAUCCCAGCCCCAAACUCUCCCCUGGAAACACAAAGAUUUUUAACCUUUUAAGAAACAAAAUUAGGACGUUCUCUUCCUAUAUCUUUCCCUUCUCUGUAAGAAAAAGACCACUGGAGACACUCCUUGUAUUUGCAUAUGAUGUAUCUGCUGGAAGGCAGAGAGAGUGUGAGUUUGCAUGGCCAUCCCACUUACGUGCUACUCCAGUUUUAGGUGGAAGCUGAGCAAUCAUGCACGGAGGUCCUUUAUAGAAAUGAAAAGGUUUUUAAUUGUUGCAUUUCUCCAUCCCCCCACGUCCUGUGUGUGUGGGUGUGAGUGGGAGGGGAGGGAGAUCUGAGCUCAAGUUCUCAUCCCUGUGCAGUAGACACUUUACCUACUGAGCCAUCUCCAUUCUUUAAAAAUGAAUAUCUAGUCUUGUUGCAGAUCAGACUAUUUGCAUAUUUAACAUAUUAAACACUCCCUUUAAAGCAGCCUGACAGCUGACUUUUCUGAGCUCUGUUCACAGGCUUCCUUCCUUCUUGGGAGCCCUGCCCUCUUAAGCUUUGGAACUCAUUUGGCUGAAAACUGUCUCCCAUUGUCCUGUUUCUCCCACUGGUGCUUUGUGGACAAGCUCAGUGCAGUGGGGAUCUGUGUUGUGGAGCUCAGCUGCCUGGAUUCUGGAAGGAGUUCCCUGUGCACAGGACACAUAUCGAGACAUCCAGAAAUGUUCCCCUUGUUUUUAUAUUAUUGCAAAAUAAUCUAAACUCUACCGGAUGGCAUUUAGGUUUGCUAAUUCAUUAGUCUGUACAUUGGUAAGGGCAAACAGACUACAAUACAACAACAUAAUAACCAAGGUGUCAGGAUUUGAACGACCAAUCACAAACAUCCCAAAUGUUAUCUCUUACAUUUCGGUUUUAUAAUGAAACCAGCAAACAUUGGGCUAGC